AGCACCUCUAUGAGUUUUUGUUUAAUAUGUGGACAAGACUUUGAGACAGGUGCUAAACCUAAGUCCCUUUUGCAAGCUAGAAAUCAUUACUCUUUGUUCUAUAUGAGUUUUGAUACAGAUAAGAAAGAGCACU
Molecule: small nucleolar RNA, 133 nt
Organism: Sorex araneus (European shrew)
Lineage: Eukaryota; Metazoa; Chordata; Mammalia; Eulipotyphla; Soricidae
Source: Ensembl